Molecule: small RNA, 1419 nt
Filed under: Histoplasma capsulatum
Lineage: Eukaryota; Fungi; Ascomycota; Eurotiomycetes; Onygenales; Ajellomycetaceae
Also listed under: 1 other name
Description: hypothetical RNA
Source: RNAcentral
AUUUCCCUUGUAUUUUUUCUCCACCAACUGAGUAACUUUUGUAUUUUUGGCAAGAAGAAAAGGUCUGCUGUCUGAUGCAAACCGCUUCAACCUUAUACUUAUGAUGGGUGAUCACUUCUUUCAGACCCGUAUAUGAUGUCCUGACUGCAACCAUGCUUGCCCUGUGUCUCGGGUGUGCGUCUUGUCUCCGGCAGCUUUGCGCGACAGCCCACCAAAUAUACAGUAUCACCAAUCCUGAGUAAUCAGGCUAGUGCAGUCUAAAUUAUGCAAGUACCCAGCUGGAUCACUGAUGGUUAUAGACAGUCGAUCUCGGCAUUUCCAUUUACCAGUGGUCGAAUAGAUGGAAAGCCCUGGAUCCGCGAAAUACCGUCAAAAUCAUAAAUAUCUGCUCGGAGAUAUUGUCACUCGACGGUUAUUGUGUAUUCGCCGUGCCGUUGUAGUAUAGGAGAUUGAGAAAAAACUGCAACAUGAUUCGAUCGUGAAUCCGAAAAAUCUCGAUUUUUAAUGUCUGGGACAUCUUCCAGAAGCAACGCUGUAUAUUCCCAAACGAACAUUUAACGAACAUUCUUCGUUUUCCGUCUUUCGGUUGUACCCAUUAAGUCUCGUUUUAAUGCAAUGCGUUCGCUCCGACGGUCUAGAUCAGUUGGAAACCCGUGGUUGAUUUUUCCUUUAAUACCACAGUGAGGGGGGAGUGCAUUCUUCUGCAACAUCAGCAACACUUUGAUGAGAGCCGAAACACCGGAUGCAGACCUCCCAUGUCCAAUAUUGGAUUUGACGGACCCUAGAUAUAGACUCUUGUCUCGCUGGCGGCCAUAAUCCCAAACGAAUGUAUCUAAAACUGAUCACAUUUCUACGGCAUCGCCGUUUGGGUUCCAGGGAUAGAAUAGUAACAAUACUUCAAGCAAUCAGUCCCUGCAUUUCUAUGUAGCUAAUGCCAUGCCCUAUAAAUAAACCUCACUUAAGGGCUUUUGGAAUGAUGACUGAGUAUUGGGGGUUGGAUGGACUCCUUCGGAUUCCGAACUCCUAGUCGGUUUCGAGAUGGUUGAAAGUAAUGAAUGGUGAGAAGUGCGCCGUAUGCAAUCUGGCGAGUGUGGUAGAAGAUUCCUCGUGGCUCAUGGUACAUGAUAGAAUUUGCAUUAAAUUGAAAUUCAUGUAACUAGCAGCUACUCAAUAACAGAGAAAAGACUUCAAACCCCAAUCCACGCAUCCCACCACUAUCGCUUAAUGAAUUGCGACUUCGAUUUUCCCAGGAAAUACCAAAGCAACAACAGUAUUUAAAUCAUCAACUUCGCUGAGUUAAAAAAAAAAAAAAAAAGAAAGAAAGAAAAAAAGAGAAAAAUUUCUCUUCUACCCCUAUCGUGUAUCACCGCGUGUUCUUACACACUCAUUUUACCAUAGAUGAAGGGUGUUUGAGACGAU